RNAcentral lists this ribosomal RNA (1418 nucleotides) under Triticum aestivum (bread wheat). Its description in RNAcentral is "partial small subunit ribosomal RNA". Lineage: Eukaryota; Viridiplantae; Streptophyta; Magnoliopsida; Poales; Poaceae. The record is from RNAcentral.
CCCCUGCGCUGGGGGGCGAGGUGGACGCGUGUACGCCGGCGCCACCAUCACACGUCUAGCGUAGGGGGGACGGAAAAUUUUGGGGUGGGGCGUCGGUGGCUCGUAGGGAGGGGGGUGCAAAAGGUGGGUGGUCUGGUCUGUGUGGGUGCCCGACGGCCGUUACCGCCGCCGCCGCCGCCGCCCCGUCCUAAUGACCCCCGACAAGGCCCUCCUCUGCCUCACCAUGUUGCUCUAGAAGGAGUCGCGGCAGCACGGCCCGCCGCCGCCGACCACCGCCCGCGACGGCGUGGGCGAGGCGAGGACCGACGCGUUGACGUAGCCGCCGAUGGAGGAGAUGAAGCGGUGGCCGAAGGAGACCACGAAGCAGUAGAUGAUGACCUUCGCGUUGCGGAUGUAGGGGUUUCUACGACAGGGAUGUCAUCUUCGAUACUUCUUCGUUUAUUAACAACGUAGUUUCCGAUACGGAAAGAUGACACGAGAAGGCAGGCAUAGACUCGUGUACUAACUCUCACCUACCUGUGCCACAAAGAAAGUAUAGUCGCUUCAACCAACCGGAUACAUGUAAUAGAUACACAGAGAUAUAGAGUAGAAACACCUCAAGCCUUAAAUGACCUACGUGUCUCUCAACGUACUGUAUUUCGGUGAUAUGUUCGUGGAUGUACGUUGGGUGGUGUAAAUGUUGUUCCUCUUAUGGGAUAGUGGUAAACGACCUGAUCGUAAGGUAGGUAACCUGCCCUAUGACGUUCGGUAUAGCGUGCACUAACGAGACAAGGAAGAGGGCUACGUGAAGUCCUGCGUGUAACGAGAGGAUAAGUAUCUCCGCCACACCUGCCGUUUGUAGGUGCUGACGUAGGUGCCGUUCUAGACCGGCCACUACCCGCGGCCGAUGGUGUGGUAGGUGGUGUGCUGCAUGGCCGUGUUGAUACCGGUGAUGUGGCACACCUACCUGACCGACAAACCGUGGGAGGCGCUCGGCCUCCUAGAGGAGUUCUUCCUGACUCGAGCACGCACGCUCGCGCCAGAAAGGCAGAGACAUCGUUACACUUCACAUCAUCUUUCACAACUCCGAAUUGGGAGGGUAGACAAAUAAGACGACUUUCUACAAACAACACACAAAUGCUGUCAAUCGCCACACGACAAACUCAGAGUCAGACCCGAACUACGACAAAGACGAGGGUCUCAGGUAUCACCAAACCUCUUUUAUAUUUAGGCCCACCCUCAUGCAACCUGUUCCAUACAAAGUUUACAGGAUCUUUAAGACCUUUGUUUGUGGGACCUGUUCCAUACAAAGUCAAGACCUCAUAUAUAAUACGACCUCUUCACUACAAGAUGUUUGUACACUUUUUCGUUCACUUUGUUUAUUUUAAGUGAACUCUCUAUAUUUUUUUUGGUAUAGGUCGUUACCUACUUAUCACCGU